AGAGUGAACGCUGGCGGCAGGCCUAAUACAUGCAAGGCGAACGGCAGCACGGCAGAGCUUGCUCUGUGGGUGGCGAGUGGCGGACGGGUGAGGAAUACAUGGGAAUCUGCCCAGUCGUGGGGGAUAACGUAGGGAAACUUACGCUAAUACCGCAUGCGCCCUUCGGGGGAAAGCCGGGGACCUUCGGGCCUGGCGCGAUUGGAUGAGCCCAUGUCGGAUUAGCUAGUUGGCGGGUAACGCCCACAAGGCGACGAUCCGUAGCUGGUCUGAGAGGAUGAUCAGCCACACUGGAACUGAGACACGGUCCAGACUCCUACGGGAGCAGCAGUAGGAAUAUUGGACAAGUGGGCGCAAGCCUGAUCCAGCCAUCGCCGCGUGAGUGAAGAGGUCCUUGGUUAGUAAGCUCUUUUGUACCGGAAAGUAAAGCUUCGGGUACAACGUACCCCGGAGUUCCCUAGGUACCGGUAACCGGAAGAACUAA
RNAcentral lists this ribosomal RNA (481 nucleotides) under uncultured soil bacterium. RNAcentral describes it as "bacterial SSU rRNA". It matches the Rfam family "Bacterial small subunit ribosomal RNA", at positions 26 to 500 of the family's 1533-position model. The record is from RNAcentral.